Lolium rigidum is the source of this 820-nucleotide long non-coding RNA. RefSeq lists it as uncharacterized. The record is from RefSeq and is a predicted model, not a curated record. Lineage: Eukaryota; Viridiplantae; Streptophyta; Magnoliopsida; Poales; Poaceae. The transcript is spliced from 3 exons.
CCCAGCAGCCUGGCUCAUCCCAUCAUCGUCGGGAGGAUACAGUGAAUGGGUUGCUAGCACAAUACUGAAGCUUGAGAAUAUUUGUUCAGAUAUGAAGAACAUCAAAGAAGUGACUUGGGGUUUUUUGCGCAAUUAAUUGAAUGCCCUGGCCCCUCUAAUCUUCCGGCUAAACAUCAAAGGUUGUACCCUUGAGAUGCUUCUUCCUGUUAUUAUUUUUUAUAUGGUUUCUACCAUAUACCUUGAUACCUACAGUGUAUCUACAGGGUGAUAGCUAGCUAUUCUAUCAUAUUUUGGUUGAUUAGCUGUACUAAUAGGUCUGUCGGUGUAACAGCGUGAAUUUGCAUUUGUGUGCUAGAGAGGGCUGAUUGAUUUGAGGACCACGCCGGACCUUUGAAGUAGAGUACCUCUCUUUAGUGAUUCUGUUGGAGAGGGCUUCUGCUGUUAAAUAAUGAGUUGCGAUUGUUGCAUACUUGUUCCUGGUACGGCAAAGGCAAAGCAAAAGGAUGCAUAUUAGAUUGCAUUAUUGUCAGAAUAUGGUUAUUGUUUUGUCCUGGCUUCCAAUUUUCGGCUUUGCACAGAAGUAGGACCAUAUGAGUGCUUAAUGAGUAAUUACCUCCAUAUGGAGUUCAAUAAAACCUAGAAUGAGGACCCCCAUCUUGUCAUGUUGGCUGAUAAAGAGCUUUUAAUGCUUAGAUCUGGUUUUAUGAAGUAAUUGCAUGUGUUCUGUUUGUGGCUCGAGAAUGUUUAGUGGAUUUAGCUCCAUGUUAUUCAGGCUUAUAUGUCAAGCUGCUGAAAAUCUUCUUUCCUUUUUACCUGCAGC